AGUGAACGCUGGCGGUAGGCCUAACACAUGCAAGUCGAACGGCAGCACAGUAAGAGCUUGCUCUUACGGGUGGCGAGUGGCGGACGGGUGAGGAAUACAUCGGAAUCUACUUUUUCGUGGGGGAUAACGUAGGGAAACUUACGCUAAUCCCGCAUACGACCUACGGGUGAAAGCAGGGGAUCUUCGGACCUUGCGCGAUUGAAUGAGCCGAUGUCGGAUUAGCUAGUUGGCGGGGUAAAGGCCCACCAAGGCGACGAUCCGUAGCUGGUCUGAGAGGAGGAUCAGCCACACUGGAACUGGGACACGGGCCAGACUCCUACGGGAGGCAGCAGUGGGGAAUAUUGGACAAUGGGCGCAAGCCUGAUCCAGCCAGACCGCGUGGGUGAAGAAGGCCUUCGGGUUGUAAAGCCCUUUUGUUGGGAAAGAAAAGCAGCAGGUUAAUACCCCGCUGUUCGGACGGGACCCAAAGAAUAAGCACCGGCGAACUGCGU
This 491-nucleotide ribosomal RNA is filed under the name uncultured bacterium. RNAcentral's name for it is "partial 16S ribosomal RNA". It matches the Rfam family "Bacterial small subunit ribosomal RNA", at positions 29 to 506 of the family's 1533-position model. The record is from RNAcentral.